Gymnodraco acuticeps is the source of this 468-nucleotide long non-coding RNA. RefSeq lists it as uncharacterized. Lineage: Eukaryota; Metazoa; Chordata; Actinopteri; Perciformes; Bathydraconidae. The transcript is spliced from 2 exons. The record is from RefSeq and is a predicted model, not a curated record.
AGUCGUAGGCCGUGUCUCAAUUCAGGGGUUGUAUCCUUCGAGGUACGCAGCCUACGCGGUCGACGCAGGAUGCGGCCGACGAGACCGCGUAGGCUGGACCGAGCGGCCUACGAAAUGAGACGGUCUAGCCUACGGAGCGCUUCGUAUUUACGUCACGUGAUACGCGCUGUUCGGUUGCGUUGCUCAAGCAGCCUGCUAGCAAAUUAGCUGAAAAGGAUCCAGAAACUUUACUUUUAAAAUGUUUGGAGAUCACCGUCGGAGAUUAAAUAAAGAGAACCAUGGCCAGAUAAAUAAGAUGAAGCUGUUCCUUUAGCCCCCAGUCAUGUUACAUCAAUGAUGUCCCACUGACCCCAGGUCAGCACCUCCAGGUCCAGCAGCACCGUGCCCCCCGCUCUGCUGAAAUACACAAUUAAACAUUUUCUAUGACCUAUUUCUUGUAUUAAUAAAAUUAAACUGAAGACAGUUUAA